ACUCCUACGGGAGGCAGCAGUGGGGAAUAUUGGACAAUGGGCGCAAGCCUGAUCCAGCCAUGCCGCGUGAGUGAUGAAGGCCCUAGGGUUGUAAAGCUCUUUCACCGGUGAAGAUAAUGACGGUAACCGGAGAAGAAGCCCCGGCGAACUUCGUGCCAGCAGCCGCGGUAAUACGAAGGGGGCUAGCGUUGUUCGGAUUUACUGGGCGUAAAGCGCACGUAGGCGGACUAUUAAGUCAGGGGUGAAAUCCCGGGGCUCAACCCCGGAACUGCCUUUGAUACUGGUAGUCUUGAGUUCGAGAGAGGUGAGUGGAAUUCCGAGUGUAGAGGUGAAAUUCGUAGAUAUUCGGAGGAACACCAGUGGCGAAGGCGGCUCACUGGCUCGAUACUGACGCUGAGGUGCGAAAGCGUGGGGAGCAAACAGGAUUAGAUACCCCGGUAGUCCC
This 445-nucleotide ribosomal RNA is filed under the name uncultured organism. RNAcentral's name for it is "partial 16S ribosomal RNA". It matches the Rfam family "Bacterial small subunit ribosomal RNA", at positions 335 to 797 of the family's 1533-position model. The record is from RNAcentral.